This 606-nucleotide ribosomal RNA is filed under the name Triticum aestivum (bread wheat). Its description in RNAcentral is "partial small subunit ribosomal RNA". Lineage: Eukaryota; Viridiplantae; Streptophyta; Magnoliopsida; Poales; Poaceae. The record is from RNAcentral.
AUGUUGCCUGCCUAUGAAGACCGCAUCUCUUGGAACCUAACUACCAAUGGUGUCUUCUCCUCUGUUUCGGCCUAUGGGGCGCAAUUCUUCGGCUCUCACCCUAGGUUCGACACCACCAAGGUCUGGUCCUCCCACGCCGAGCCCAAGUUUAAAUUCUUCACCUGGCUCACCCUCCAUGGAAGAAUCCUCACAGCGGACAUGCCCGCUCUGCGUGGUUGGCCACAUAAUCCCAGGUGUCUGCUAUGCCUUCAAGAGCCGGAAACGGCAAAUCACCUUUGUAAGGAUUGUCCCUUCUCGGUCGCUGUCUGGAACCAGGUGAACUCAUGGCCGAGCGAGGGUCAUCCGACCUCUGGUUACCUCCCAGAGCCAGGAAAUAUGUCGGAUUGGUGGGACAUGAUGCUUGCAAACCAAUCAAAGCAAGUGCACCGGCGGCGCAGCGGGAGGAUAAUCUACACCUUAUGGUCAAUCUGGAAGGAAAGAAAUAGGUGUGUUUUCACUGUACUAUGGGUGACGCACCGUGAGGCACAAUGUUGGCCUUCGAGGCAAUUAAGCAACGAGAGUUGGCGUUUGCUGGGGCAUGCCAACAGUGGGUAUUGGCUAAGCUAG